GUAGUCUCGCACAGAUGCAUAUCAAUAAGCGGAGGAAAAGAAACUAACAAGGAUUCCCCUAGUAACGGCGAGUGAAGCGGGAAGAGCUCAAAUCUGAAAUCUUAAAGGGUUUCCCUUUACGAAUUGUAGUUUAAAGAAGUGUUUUCUGUUGAGGUUUUGGUAAAAGUUCUUUGGAAUAGGACAUCAUAGAGGGUGAGAAUCCCGUAUUUGACCUUUACUUUCAACUUUGUGAUACACUUUCAAAGAGUCGGAUUGUUUGGGAAUGCAGUCCAAAAUGGGUGGUAAAUUUCAUCUAAAGCUAAAUAUUGGCGAGAGACCGAUAGCGAACAAGUACCGUGAGGGAAAGAUGAAAAGAACUUUGAAAAGAGAGUUAAACAGUACGUGAGAUUGUCAAAAGGGAAGCGUUUGACACCAGUGUUGUUUUUCUGAAAAUCAAUUAAAGAACUGUUUAUGCUAAGUUGUUUAGACUUUAUCAGCUAUCUGUUUAGUUUUGAGCUUUUCUUUAAUGCGCUUUUCAGUUAACAAGUCAACAUCAAUUUCUUUUGCUGUAAAAAAGCUUGAGGAAGGUGGCUUGAGAUUCGUCUUAAGUGUUUAUAGCCUCUUGCCUAUGCAGUCGGAGAGAUUGAGGUCUGCAGCGUAGAUCCUUCGGGGCUAAAUGCAUUUGUGCUAAGUUAUAGCAUUUUAUAGACAACUUGUUGACUAUGAUUUGUCUUGUAGCUUACUCGCUUAUGUUAUUUUACCUACGCUUAGGAUGUUGAGCGCAUGUCUCUCUCU
RNAcentral lists this ribosomal RNA (774 nucleotides) under uncultured Neocallimastigales. RNAcentral's name for it is "partial large subunit ribosomal RNA". It matches the Rfam family "Eukaryotic large subunit ribosomal RNA", at positions 24 to 616 of the family's 3401-position model. The record is from RNAcentral. Lineage: Eukaryota; Fungi; Neocallimastigomycota; Neocallimastigomycetes; Neocallimastigales.